GCUACCGGUUCGGUGCCGCGCGACCGGAAGCGGAGUGCACCCGGGGCCCUCUGGGAACUGUAGUUCUGUCUUUCCAUGGCCUCUCUCCGGCGUAAGGGCUCCGUCUCCUCGGACCCAAGACCAAGGCCUGGGUGGCAGGGACACGUGACCUGUUUGGAAGCUGUGGGGACUGUUCCUCAGGCCCAGACCGCCGGCGGUUGUAGAGCCCACGAGCCCGGCCCGUCUCCGCGAUGAACGGCUCGCCGAAGAGGCCUCUGGGAAUUGUAGUUGAGGGGGUGGGGGGAGCCGGGCCAGUGCGCGAGGUCCGAGUUGCGACCGUUACUCGCCCCCGCGGUCGGAGAGAGCUCGGGGGUCGCAGCCACACCCGCCCUUCCGACAGAGAAGGCUUUGCCUCGGCUUUCGGGAGCCCAGGCAGGAGGGCGGCCGCAAGGCGAGGUGUCGGCCCUGGCUCAGGGGAAGAAAGUUUCUUAAAUAAGAUGCUCAGGGAGAGUUUGUCUGAAACGAACCCUCCCACGGCACAAGUGAGCCUCCUUGGGGACUUCUCCAGUCCAGAAUGACCACAGCAGUGACUGGGGGCUGUGUCCCAGUGCCUCGGGAUCCUUCAGAAGCAGGACAGAAUUCUGACCAUGAAGGUGGAAACAGGACCACUCGUAGGGGAAAGACUAUGCUGCCAGAGCUCCCACUGUUCUUACUGGUCUCCAGGACAGGAGGUUUGCCAGGGGGAGACGGCUCCCCACGCCCAGCAGGGGAAUCAGCACACUUGAGCCCCAGUUCGAACGUGGAUCUUGGGAGCUCUGCACCAGUGGUAGGAGGCGGCAUCCCCUGGGGAGCAGGUCAGAGUCUUUGAUGUUUUUCCUGGGCACUCCUGUGUUGAAAAGCAGGACAAAACACACAGCGUCCAGACCUGUGCUGGGAGUUGAGUGUGAUCAUCCACCUGGCAUGAGACCUCAAGUCCAGGACUCAGCGAGGUCCUGAGGUCAUUGGAGCACAGCAGAGAAUGUCAGGUCAUCCCCCAGUGCCCCAACCACAGCGGUGUGGCCUUCCAUUUCCUGAAGAUGGACACGCUAUUGGGCUGUUUUGAAUUCUGGUGUGGUAGCAUUUUAGCUACAUGGCACUCCAUGGUAUGGCUCAUGGAGACCUUUAUUGACGGUAAUAGCACCUUUCUUCUUUCCAUCAUGUAGCCUCUACUCAACAUUUGAAGGGAACCCAGCAGAUCCAGCCACCCUGGGUGUAUGGAAGGGAGGCCUGCUCUGGGGAAAGGCAGGCAGUUGGGAAUCAAAGAGAACGACCCAACAAAGCAUCCAUCCCAGCCAGAAGGAGAAGCAGGCAGGGUGGAGGGGCUGGACGCACUCCUGUCCCUUACUUCAGAGAAGAGGCAUGACAUCACCGUUCAUUUGCCCCCAAUUCUCAGAACUCAGCACGUUGCUUUGUACCGGGACUCUUACGUGCUCAUUGCAAAGCCAAAUACCACCGCUAGGGGGCUGCUGCUUUCGAUCGGCGGCGCGUCCUGAUCUUUGCCUGAGCAGGAGGGACGGAGAGGGGACUUCACAGAUUUGGACGCAGUGGACGGCCACGUCAGGAGAACAUCACGCCCCGUCCUGUGGAAGUGUGGUUUCAUUGAAAAGCUCCCACACUGAAAUAAGUGACACACUGGACAGCUUCUAGAGUCUCCUGUCACCAUUGGGAUCCGUGGGACACGGUAUUAGAGGAGGCCAGACUCCUGCAUGACAUUCCUCUGGUGCCCACCAGAAUGGAUGGAUGGGGGGUGUUCAGGUAUUGAAAUGCUCGUGGACUGGCUGGUAAGCAGCUGCUGGUCUGUGUCCCCAAGUGACCUCCCGGCCUCCUUGGCACCCCAGCGACUCCUCCCUGACCCUCGGAACCUUUCUAGGGUCAGGCAUCUAAUGGUCAUCACUCGCUGGUACAAGAGGCCCCUGGGUCUCCAGAUGAGAUCAUGACCUGAGCCGAAGUCAAGACGCUUAACUGACUGAGCCCCCCAGGGUCCCCUCAUAACCUUUUUAAAAAAUACACGAUUGGGGCCCCAGGGUGGCUCCAUCGGUUGAACAUCCAACUUUGGCUCAAGUCAUGAUCUCACGGUUUAUGGGUUCGAGCCCCGCAUCGGGCUCUGUGCUGACAGCUAGGAGCCUGGAGCCUGCUUUGGAUUCUGUGUCUCCCUCUCUCUUUCUCUGUCCCUCCCCCACUCAUGCUCUGUCUCUCUCACUGUCAAAAAUAAAUAAACGUUAAAAAAAAUUUUUUAAUUAAAAUAUAAAAAAUAUAUGAUCAUUAACUAACUGGAAUUUAAAUAAAAAUUUGGAAGAAAAAAAUGGAUGAUCAGUAAUUUUCUAUAACUUUAUUUAUCAUUGCUGUAUCAUAUGUCAUCCUUUAUUCAAUCCAUCCCCCAUGGCAGGUGUGUUUUACUUCCACGGCCUUUCUCUGCAGAGCAAACAGGUAAUAUUUGGAUUUUCCACAGGUAAUUACAGACGGUGGCCCGAGGAGUAAGGAUGAGGCGUUCAGCUCAUGUCGGGAACUUGCUGAAAGCAGAACCCACAGGUGACUUCACAGGUACCAGAGCUGGGAGACACCUCGGAAUGUUCCAGUACCUUAGACCAGCAUUAGGGAACCUUCAGAUGGGAGGCCAAGCAGCUGCCCCGCCCAAAAAAAGAAUUUCAAGCAGGAGAGAGAAGCAGCAGCCAUGACAGUGACAAAAGUGACCCACACUGCAGGCCAGGUGAGUGCCUUGUUCCGAGUCAGAAAUGUUGUGCAGAGACCCCAUACAUGGAACAUGCGUGGCCACAGUUUCUGGGCAGACCCAGCCCUCAGUCGGCAUCAGCCCGCACGGGAGAGGACCCUGGACCACUCCAAGUCGGCCACUCCUUCAGGAGGCCCCGUCCCCAAACACGGGCUUUGGUGUGGCCCUGCAGCCAGUGGGGUUAGUGCUCCCCGGGCGUGGAAGGGCACAGGGAGCUAGCCUGGGCAGCGGCUUGUCCCCCAGCCCCUCCACUGUCACCUCGGCCACCCAGUCUCCACUUCAGCCCCCUCUUGGGCCACUUUUCUCUGUCCUUCUGCCUUUUCAAAAAAGUGAUAAUACACUUACUCUCUUCUCAACAAAAGUAAUACAUGUCUGUAACAGAACUUUUUAUUUUUAUUUUUUUAAUCUUUAUUUAUUUUUGAGAGAGAGAGAGCAAGCGUAGGGGAGGGGCAGAGAGAGAGGGAGACACAGAAUCUGAAACAGGCUUCAGGCUCUGAGCUGUCAGCACAGAGCCCGACGCGGCGCUUGAGCCGUGAGAUCAUGACCUGAGCUGAAGUUGGACACUUAACCGACAGCCACCCAGGCGCCCCUGUGACAGAAAAUGUUAAAUACAUCUGAACAAAAUGAAGAAAAGAAGAAAAUUAGUCAUCUGUAACAUUGACUGUCCUUGCAGCAUCUGUUUCUAAGCCUCCAUACACAGUUUGUCCAGUAUUCAGAUUUCUCUAAAAAAAGAGCAAAAAACAGGCGGGGAACCUCCUGGGGGCCACAGCUACCUGCCUCCGGGACUUCAUCUUACCUGCCUUUCAGGGUGGGAACCAAGACAGGACGAUGGCAAUACCUCUCUCGGCCACAGGAGGGGGGUGUUUGCUCAUGCACGUCCUGUGCUUUCUGCUUGGGUCCAGAGCUGGCAGCUGCCGGCUCCCGUCGAAGGCACCGCAGUCAGUCCUCGAUUUAUGGCUCCUACUGCUCACUGCAUCUCUUGGAAACCUUCUUGGUCCACGAGGGGCAGAAGGACAGAAGUCACUGUUUCGCCACAUCUGCCUGAAUCCUCGGAAUCCUCGGACAGCUCUCUCCUCGCUGUCGCAGCCUGGGGCUGCCCAGAAAAGGGGUGAACCACCAGCCUCCUGGGGUCAUCUCCACGCUUACCCCCCUUCACGGUUUCCCAUCGUCCUCGGUCCUCCCGCGCUGUUGGCUCGCACACACUACGCUGGCGGCCUUCGCGCGCCUCUGCUCCAUCUCACGGCACACCUUCCCGCGUGUUCCUCUCUGCACCCCAGGCUGAUGCUUCCUCUUUCGGGUUUGGCCGGCCCGUUGCUUCUUCCCAGAAGUCACUCACGGCCCUGCGAGUCUGGGCUACGCGAUUCUCCUCUGUGCUUCCGCGUGCUUCCCUUCCAAAACCCAUAGCGUGCUGAAUCGUCCACCGCCCCCUAGAACGAACGGAAGCAACGUGAGGGCCGGGGCCACGUCCGUCUUGCUCACUGGCAUCCCCGGCGCCUGGGGCUCCGUGGGGCUCCGUCCGAGUUCGCUGGAUGGAUGAAGGAGUGAGCGAGUGUGCCUUUCCCUGUUCCCUGAAGUAGAGUCUGCAGACGCCAGUCCUCGUCCCUCCUUCCGUCCCCCUCCCCCCAGGUCACCAGGUACCGCUCCGGUCCCCUGUGUCUGUGGAAACGCAGUCCGAGGAAGAUGCAGUGCUGAAGGGCAGCUGACUGCCUGUGGCGGCGGGGAGACAGAGGCGCGAGGAGCGGGACACCCCUGGUGUCAGACCCCGGCUCUGCCACUUCCCGGCUGUGCCCGUGCCUCAUUUUCCUUAUUUACAAGGUGGUGCUGACGGUACCGGGCUUGCAGGGCUGCUCCGAGAAGUCGAAUGCUAGCCUGGCCGGCGGCCGGCAGUCACGAAGUCAGACCUGUGCCUCCGUCUCCCCUGCGCACUCUCCCGAGGCACCCCCCCACCCCCCGCUAUCUCCGAGGCACUACCCUUUUCCUGAUUCCCUUCUCCUUUCCCCACGGUCACCCACACCGCUUGUCACUGACACCUCCCCGUCCCGUGUCCUUUAUCCCCAGCACGGGUAAUAGCACCAGGCACAGCACAGACGGGAUGCAGAAAGGGUGCCCGUAGCGUGGCUGGAUGGAUGGAGGGACGAGUGAACCAGUCACAGCAGCGCCUCUGGGAUGCAUUCACCGGUGGUGGUACGUGUGAUGAUAGUCACCAGUGGACAAGUGGCCUCCUGCCUGCCGGAUGACACCAGGGACAGGUGGGGCUUAUGUGAAGGCAGGCUGCCAGCCACACCCUCAUGAGGCCACGGCAAGAACAGAAAAGGUGACACCACCCUUGACUGAAUGGCCAGGAAGGAGGAGGGGCGAUGAGGAAACAUCGCAGCCAUGUGGAAAGGCCCAGAAACACGGAGCCCCAGAGCCCUGGUUCUUCUCUUCUGCUCAGCGUUGUGGACCCCAAGGACAACACAUGCGCGACUAACCCUGAGCAAACAGUCCUACAGGUGUCUGCAUUCCUUACAGAUAGAUGGUCUGUGGUCCCACCACUGGGGCUAAAAGUUCAAGUUCCAGCCAAAUCCUUCUCUAGGUUUCUUUCUUCCUUUCUUUCUUUCUUUCUUUCUUUCUUUCUUUCUUUCUUUCUUUCUUUCUUUCUUUCUUUCUUUCUUUCUUUUUAAUGUUUAUUUAUUUAUUUUGGAGAAAGCACAAGCAGGGAAGAGGUAGAGAGAGGGAGGGAGACACAGAGUCUGACGCAGGCUCCAGGCUCUGAGCUGCCAGCACAGAGCCCGACUCGGGGCUCAAACUCACGGACCUCGAGAUCAUGACAUGAGCCGAAGUUGGAUGCUUAACCGACUCAACCCCCCCAGGCGCCCCUCUAGAUUCCUUUCAUGGUGGUUUUCUCUGAUAUGAACAUUUUCCAUGCGGCAGCCCCCUGCGGGCCCCCGUGAGCUCCCUCAUUCCGAGGAGCGCCAGCCAGGAUCUUAGGGGGAUGAAGAAAGGCUGACUUCUCCUCAGAUGAUCAUGGCCCUCGAUUCACCACAUUUGAAAGAUUUAGCUCCUGAAGGGCUCAUCUGCUGUAGGGCGAGGUCUGUGCUUUCUCAGAGCAUCGCUCCUCUGCUCGCAGAGGCCAGUUUCUCCCGCGUGACACCCGGGAGGUUGGGCUGACGUGGCUUGGGCUCAAUGUGUCCCGCGCGCCCCUCCCCUGUGACUUUCUCGUCUCUGAGAGCUGCUCGCCUCCUCCUGAGGGUUUUCCUCCGUGGCUGCCAUUCACAGAGACUCUCUCUGGGAUGGAUUAGAAAAUGAAUGGAAAUUUUCUCUUAUUCAUAAUAAUAGUCAGAGAUUUCCUCUGUACGAAUUCUUUGACAUCCUGCCGGAAUCCUGCCCAGAUGCGCGGCCACGCGUAUCCUCCCAGCGGAGCGAGGUUUGGGCUUCGUGGUUUCCCAAAGCAAUGCCUUUAUCAGUGUAAAGCCUCUCGGGAGCGGCAGCACCCGCUUCGAGGGUGGCCCCGUGGUUCUGCUGUGGCAGGAAGGCUGAGUGUUGGAGUCGACAGGAUGUCCUCAGUCCUGGCCUCAUACCGUGAUGACACCAUAGGAAAUGAAACUGUCACAAGUCCCCAUUUCCAUGGGGCGGGCACCCGGGUGGCUCAGUCGGUUAAGCGUCUGACUCUUGGUUUCAGCUCAGGUCAUGAGCUCACGGUUGUGUGAGAGCCCCGUGUUGAGUCCGUGCUGACAGCAGGGAGCUGCUUGGGCUUCUCUCCCCCUCGCUCUCUGCCCCUCCCCCGCUUGUGCUCGCGCUCUCUCUCUCUCAAAAUAAAUAAACUUAAAAAAAAACAACAAAACAAACACCAAGGUCCCCAUUUCCAAGAAACAAAGCUCUGUGACUGCACCAACCUCCCGGCCUCUGGCUGUCUCCUCUGGUGAUGGCUGAGCGAGAGAAGGCGCUGCGGCUUGAAGCCUUUCUUUCGCGAAGGGGUGAUGGGCCAGCUGCAUUCUGAGCGCCCGUGGUCAAGGCCCAUGUCACGGGUCCCCCCGGAGGGCAGGCCUCCCCAGUGCUCUGAAUUUGCCCACCCUCCUGUCCUGGCCCAAAGCCCGCCUCUUCCCUGAAGCCCUCCCGGGACUCUGCAGGCCUGCAGUUAGACUCCCUGCUCUGUGCUCGCAUAAGAAUUCACGGCCCACAAAACGCCCUAGCCAGCACUCACGCAGUGUUCUAGGCCUUCAUGACCUUUCUAGGCCUUCUCCUUCUCAAACAGACUUAAAGGAAGCUCUGUGAGGAAGAACCACGUCUCAUCCUUGAUAUUCUCCGUGGCUCCUCUGAGCACCGCAGGACUUGGGGUGGAGACUGGCUGUGGCUGUGGACGCUACGGUCCAAGAGGACGGGCUCGCCGCUCAGCGAGGUCGUGGGUGGAGGCACACCUGUGACUGAAGACGUGGCCUGCCUUCUCUGGGACGGUGGCCGGCUCAGUCAGGAGGAAGGUGACCUCGUCCUUGCCGCCACCCCCUUCCCCCCACCCCCCCAACCGCAGGCAGCCUUGCCACAUUCGCCCCGAUACCCGGAAGCUGGCCGUUGCUUCAUCCCCGUUGCCUCUGCCGCUGCCUGGGAGUGCCGUUGGGAGGGGGAGGCAGGGAACAAGCAAGAAACGGGUAUGGUCGUGAAGCUGUCCGCGCAGUGUCCUGGUUAAGUACGGCAGGCGUAGGGACCAGCUCUCAAAUAUGAACUUGUAGCUCUUUGAGGGCAAGGCCUAUGUCUGAAGCAGCUCUGUGUUCACGGUGCCUGGCUUAGCACCUGGCACGUAGUAAGGAUUCACCCGGCGUGGAGCAGGCAGGUGCUCCCGUAGUUACCGGCAGCCAGGGAGUUCGUGAAGGUAACAGAACGGAUGUUAGUGACCGUCCUGAAGUACCCCCUCCUCCGAGCCCCCCUACCCCCAAUGAGUGCCUCCUCCCCUUGGCAUAUGGCGAAGGCCUGGGUCUCAAGCACAGGACGCACACAGCGCCCUUUUUCUUUCGUUAGCUGCAGAGUCCCUGCCUCCCCCGUGGACAAGGGACAAACCCUGUGUGCACAUGCAGGGUUUCGUACAGCCUCGGAGCUCUCUUCUGCUUUCGUUUAAAGCUAGUAAGUUAGAAAUGUUGUUGGCCAGAUCGUAAGAGCUAGUCCCAGAUGCUGGCCGUGCUCAUGGAACCCGCAUCUCCUGGGAGCCCGGGCUGCUGCUAAACUGCUGGACCCCGAAGCCAGUGGAGAUGUGAGCACGCCACUGAGGGCUAAGGAGAGAAAGAAAAAGAAAGGGAGGGCCCUUGCCGGCCACCCCUCUAUCUGUUGCCAGGGGCCUUUGCGCUCACGCGAUUGUCCCGGGGCGGGAGCGCAGCCGCCGCCAGGGGUCUCCAGGCUUGGAAGCUUGGAGCUGGAAUGUCAUUUCCAGAUUUCCAGUGGGUCUCUGGAGUACUCUCUGAAAUUACUCCCCUGAUGACCAUCCCAGUGCUCGACCAGAUAGAAAUUCAUGCAGGCAGGUAGAAGGGAUGGAAAUAGCUAAUCAAGUGAAGGCAUUGGGGGUGCAGGGCGCUGGAGGGGCAGGUGACUCUAAGCUCGCCGCUCCCGGGGAACUGGCGAAGCUGCUCCAGAGGCUUCUAGAAAACGCUCGAGAAACCAGGUCUAGAAAGAAAGCCAUAAAGGGCUUCAUGAUACGUAAAGGCCCCCCGUUUCCCUGCUGCCCCCCACCCCGUGGAGGACACCAGUGGAGCCCCGCUUCCAGAAAGGCCAAGCCAGGCUCUUGGUCGCUUGCUCAGCAGCCGGUUCUCCUCACUGGGCCUCGGAGACACUGGGCACGAACGUGAGGCUCUCAGGGUAACAGCGGCCACCCUGCAUCCAGUGCCCACACUGCCAAGGGCUUCAGGCACAAUGUCUCUCGUGACCCCCCAACAGCCCUGGGAAAUAGGAUGUUCCUGUCCUGGUGCUAGAAUGAAGAAAGGAACUUAGAGAGGUUAAAUAAUUCACCCAACAGCAUGCAGCUGCUAAGUGGAGGGGCAGAGGCUCAAAUCCGGGUCUGCCCCUCUGUGCCUUAAGGUUCUAUGUGGCCCGUUGUGGGAUUGUUCCUUGCGUCACUGGAAUCGCCAGCCCGCUUUCUGCCCCUGUUGUGUGGCUACAUCGAAGUGACCCUCCGUCCACAAUCCCUUCUGCAGCCUGUCAGAGCCAGAAAAUGGCCUCUAAGAGACCAAGUCUAGUAGGUACUGAACCUCCCGAUGCCAGUGACAGCCACGUUCGCGAGAGACCUCCCACUUCCUGCCGGCAGUCACUGGAAUUUCUGCUUUGGGGAUUUGGGGAGACAUGCAAGUCACACAGACACAAGAAUCUAUGAUUCUGCUCUCGAUACUGCGAGUCAGGGAAGCAGGCCGAGCCUCUAGAGCAGGAAUGAGUUAGGUCUGCGCAGCCGUGUCCGGGCCUCAGCUGGAGCGGCCCAGGUGGCUGCAUUUGGCUAAGGUGGCUAGACUGUGGCCCGAGUUCAGGGGCCUUGGUUCUGUCUGCCAGCUGGAUUCCUCCUCUUCGUGUGGCAUCCGCCGGAGUGGGGCCAAAAUGUCCAAAAUGGCCUCUUCACUCGUGUGUCCGGGGCUUCCGUGUUCUCCCUUGUGGCCUCUCUCUUCACAGAGUGACUGAAUCUUCGCACAGCGUUGCUCCGGGCUCCGCAAACCCACGAUCCACGCUCUUCGGUGCCACCGAACCGGCCUUGCCCCGCGUCCCUUCUCAGGGACGCUGCCGCCUGGGGGCUGUGUUGUAUCACAUGACCCUGCUUCCUCGCCCCUCCCCCCGACAGGUCAUCGGACCAGGACCCAGUAGAGGCUGGCCAAUGACAUUCAAAGUCCCCUGGCUGGCUCAAAAAUUCAAGGAAUGCCAGUUAGACCAAUCAGAUUCCCCUUUGGGGACAUUGGCACCAAAAAAUCAGACAGUAUCGUCACAGUGCGUGACAGGAUGUCGGGAGGGCCAGUAGGGCCCGGAUGGACCCAUGUGCUAGCCAGGAUUAAACUGAAGAAGAAACUCGGGACAUAGAAGAGAAACAGGCUGUGACACGAGAGAACGUACUGAGCGUGGAGGGAACCACGAGCCUGUUACUGGUGAGGGGAGAAAGGAGGGACUCACCAGAGCAGAGCCAAGACCUGUGAGAGGCCGAGGAGGAAGUCAGCCCCAGGGUACCCCAGUGCCUUCUGGUCCCCUGGCCCAGCCUGGCCGUGUGUGUUAUGGCAGCAAGCCCGUUACUUACUCCCUUGGCUGUCAGGUGGCUUUGAGGUGGGCAUGUGACUUAGUUCUGCGAAUAAAAAUUUAUGAGGAAAUGGCUUGAGGACCUUCUGGGAAGAAAUUUGCUUUUUGAUUAAAGGGAGGAUGGUGAAGAGGCCUGUCCCUCCUUCCUGCCUUGAACGUGGAUGUCGGAGGACAUGAUGCUUAGGACUGUAGCCGCCAUCUUGAGACCCCGAGGCAACCAGACCAAAGGAAAAAGCCAACAUACCAAGGUUGGCCUAGCAGACAGACAAAAAGAGCCUGGGUCCUUGAUGAUACCGUUGAGCCACUAUACCUAUCCUGGAACCACCGGCUUCCAGUCUUAUUGAUAUAUUAAUUAAGUGUCCUUAUUUUCUAAGCAGAUUUCUGCUAUUUGGAACUAAGGCAUUCUUAACCAGUAGAGCAGUCUUCUGAACCCGCCCGUCACCAACUCCUUUGAGCACCAUGGUUCUUGGUUUAGAUCCAAAUGGAAACCCACCCCAAACUUAGCCAGUGGAAAACGUACUUACGUGGUAGGAAAUACAGGUCAAGAUUUCUCACAGCCUACAGAGCAAUUCUAGCGCUUAGUCCCAAAUCCCAGGGCCUGUUGGACACAAAUGAGGAAAGAUAGACUCAGGAAAGAUCUAGAUACAUGGCGAUGAGUCUUCUUCUAAAAUGAGGCUCAGUGAUGAAUUUGGGGAUGAACAAGUUCAGUGGAGGGAGAGAGGGAGAGCCUAAGCAUGGGCCAGAAAGCCAUGGAAAGCACGUGGAGGGAGCGGCGAGCUUGAACGGGCAAAUGGCAGUGGGUCAGAUCACUUCUGCAGGAGGCCAGGGUGCACAGCAGGAUUUUCUAAGUGCCAAGUACUAGCUGGGAGGGGCUUAUGGCAACUGAAACUAAACUGGGGGGAAACUAGGCAUUUUAGCGAACCCUCCUGCCAGCCCUACUGGCAUUUUAGAUCCUCUGAGGAACAAGGUGGCCUGAAUUGUGGCCCUUCCCUGUGUGUGGGCGCUGUCCCCUGCCCCCCACGCUCUUCACUCUGUCUCUUCACCUGUCCCUCUUUCUCCACCAUUUCUUCCUGUCUUCUCGGCAAAGCUAGGAGCCCGAAAUGCACAAGGUCUGAAUCUCUUCUGCUCAGUUGCAGAGUAAAGAUAGUGAGAGGCAAGGAUGUCUUUAGGAAACAUUGGAGCUUCAUCUGGGGCUCAUGUGAGUUAGCUUGAGAGGAGGGAAGCAGUGGGCUGCUAAGAACUAGAUGAAACUUUCUUCUGCCCCAACUUUGAUCGAGCUGUGGGGCUGGGGCCGGGGUGUGCUUCUUCAACACACUGCAAGAAAAUGUAUGGUCCUUCCUUCCCUUAUGAAAGGGAAGCUGAAUUCAAGAAGUUGAACUCAAGAACUCUAGGCCUUCCUCUUUCGAUUUCCAGUUUCAGAUACACAAGAAAGAUAAAGGGGUGUCCUCCUCAGACGUUCAGAACUUGAAGAGGUCAUCCGUUUGGCAUCUCCAGAUCAUCAGUAGUAGAGGUGUGGCCCAUGGAAAGUCAUCGAAUGAAUGGGGCCCAAACACGGAUGUGUCGCGAUGACAUUCGAAUUUGUGACCGGCAGAUUGUGCCACUAAGCCUUGUUGUGCCACUAAGCCUGUGUACCGCGGGCAUCCUCCCCACCGGGGGCCAAAACCAGGCCAACCCUGGUGUUUGUCUGCUGUGUUACUUCAUUCAUUUAGCAGAAGUGUACGGAAUGCCUAGUAGAAUUAUAAGCCAAGCAUAUAGAAGCAAUGGUACUAUUAGGAAAAUACGUUACUAAAGACAAAAACAAUUCCUGACAUAAUCAGAGAAAAGAACGAAAGCUCAGGGGUGGAUGAAACAAAAAGUUUAACCCCCUCCUUUGAUGUGACUGAUGCUUCAAUGUGAUAUACUUAGUAAAUGCUGACUUCCCCGCCCCGCCCCCAGUUGCCCCAUACAUUGCAAGGGUUUCUCUGAAAUCCAGUAAGGAAAAGAACUGAAGGCUUUUCUUCCCUCUUGGUAAUCAAGGUUUUUUCUCCAGUAUGAAUUAGCCUGAUUACGGAUUAAACACCCUCCCACAGUCUGUACAGCACAAGAGUGUCUUUCCCGUGAAUUCUCCAGUGACAAGAAAAGGCUGCAUGAUCCCUAAAUGACUUUCCACAUUGAUUAUACUCACAGGCUUUUCUCCCAAGGAUGAAUGAUCUCGUGUUCAAUACGCUCCGCGCUUCCCCUAGAUAGUUCUUUAUAUUCAUCACACGUGACCAACUCAUGUCCCCACUAAGCUAGCUGACGUCGUCUAAGGACGAGCUCGGGUUGAAGGCUCUCCCUCACCCAUUAUGCUCGCAGAGCACCUCCCUGCUCUGAGAUCCCAGAUGUCUAAUUAGCUCUGAGCUUCUCAAAGCAUUUUCACAGCCAUUACGCACAUGUGGUUUUUCUCCAGUGUGAAUUCUCUGACGUUGAAUGAGCUCUGCUUCCCUGAAAGCCCUCACAUUUAUUGCGUCUGUAGAGUUCCUGUUGUUUGUGAACGAGCCGAUUCCGUGUGGUACUAGAAUACUGGCAGACGCCUCCCCAGAUCAGGAUUCUCUGCAAGAGAAAUGUUCCAGCAUUCAGUAGGAUGGGAGCCCUCCCCCGCCCCCCGUCGUGAAAGUUGUCUGUAUUCAUAAUGAGGUGUUCUCUCCAAUACGGAUACUGUAAUACUGAAUAAAUUCUGACCUCUGAUCUAAGAUCUGGUCACAUUUAUUUUGGGGUUUUCUCACUUCUAAAAUAUACAGGUGGGGGGCACCUGGGUGGCUCAGGCGGUUAAGUGUGCGACUUCAGCUCAGGUCAUGAUCUCACAGUCCGUGAGUUCGAGCCCUGCAUUGGGCUCUGUGCUGACAGCUCAGAGCCUGGAGGCUGCUUCAGAUUCUGUGUCUCCCUCUCUCUCUCAAAAAUAAAUAAACAUUAAAAAAAAAUUUUUUUAAA
Long non-coding RNA from Neofelis nebulosa (Clouded leopard), 12922 nucleotides. RefSeq lists it as uncharacterized. The transcript has 3 exons. The record is from RefSeq and is a predicted model, not a curated record. Lineage: Eukaryota; Metazoa; Chordata; Mammalia; Carnivora; Felidae.